CGCCGGUUGUGAACGUCGGUCCGUAAGUUUGGCCGGUUCCAGAUGAGCAAAACGAAUUACCGUCGUCCCCGUGAUAACCAUAAGACUGUUUGUCCCAACCUGAAGACAAUAUUUCCGUUAGGACACAACACAACAGGGUCGAAACGUCGCCGUUGAUGGAACAGUUUCAGACUCACGUUCGAUCGAAAUGAUCAAAGCAAAAAACUGACCAGGCGACAUUUUAGGCGGAAGCCCGUUAUGUCGUACGGAUUCUUUGGGAGGCGACGGAUUUUACAGUAAAAACAAUUGAGUAAUACUGCUUGUGUUUUGUUUUAAUUUUAAUUGAAAAAGAUGAAGGAGCGGAACAUGGCCAAUUAAAAUAAACAAAUUUAUUUUGUCGAUUGUUUUCAAUAAAAUUUUACCAUAGAAGCGAACCGCAAACAACAUUUAAUUUCAAAUUGACAAAACGUGCCGAAAGUCGAAAAAACAUGCCUGCAAUGCUCUUUGAGUUUGCUAUUUGGCUAAUAGCCCCAGUUCACAUGUAUCUUCUCAUGGCUUUGUUCCACAUGAUGCUGCUCCCCGACGAAACUGAUAGAUACGAAAGAAAUAACGGCACCGACGACGGAUACAUGUGGUAACAGACACUGCAACUUUGCCCCCCUGUAAUCAUAUUACCCCCAUUUAAUCUAUUUUACAAUGUAUUGCGUAUUCGUAUUGUAUAAUCAUUCAGAUCUGACUUUUGUAUGACAAUUUGCCAAAUUAAAGACCUCCUUUGAA
Long non-coding RNA from Aethina tumida (small hive beetle), 756 nucleotides. RefSeq lists it as uncharacterized. NCBI's taxonomy places the organism in Eukaryota, Metazoa, Arthropoda, Insecta, Coleoptera, Nitidulidae. The record is from RefSeq and is a predicted model, not a curated record. The transcript has 3 exons.